This 406-nucleotide ribosomal RNA is filed under the name uncultured bacterium. Its description in RNAcentral is "partial 16S ribosomal RNA". It matches the Rfam family "Bacterial small subunit ribosomal RNA", at positions 29 to 526 of the family's 1533-position model. The record is from RNAcentral.
AUUGAACGCUGGCGGCAGGCCUAACACAUGCAAGUCGAACGAGUGGCGGACGGGUGAGUAAUGUCUGGGAAACUGCCCGAUGGAGGGGGAUAACUACUGGAAACGGUAGCUAAUACCGCAUACCAUCGGAUGUGCCCAGAUGGGAUUAGCUUGUAGGUGAGGUAACGGCUCACCUAGGCGACGAGCCCUAGCUGGGCUGAGAGGAUGACCAGACACACGGAGAGUGGAACACGGUCCAGACUCCUACGGGAGGCAGCAGUGGGGAAUAUGGCACAAUGGGGGAAAUGCGGAUGCAGCCAUGGCGCGUGUAGGGAGAAGGCCUUCGGGGUGUAAAGUACGUUCCGCGGGGAGGCGUUACCCGCAGAAGAAGCACCGGCUAACUCCGUGCCAGCAGCCGCGGUAAUUC